RNAcentral lists this ribosomal RNA (94 nucleotides) under Helobdella robusta. The record is from RNAcentral. Lineage: Eukaryota; Metazoa; Annelida; Clitellata; Rhynchobdellida; Glossiphoniidae.
ANCCGGUUCUCGUCCGAUCACCGAAGUUAAUCAACGUCGAGCCCGGUUAGUACUUGGAUGGGAGACCGCCUGGGAAUACCGGGUGCUGUAGGAU